CACACAAUUUCUUCAAUUAUAAAUCUCUUAAAUUGGUAUGAUACAUGCGUUACAAUUGAUGAACCAACAAUGAUACGUUAUGUUUGCUAAGUUCCAUAGUUUGUUCAGAUUUCCUUAGUUUUAGCCUAACAUCCUUUCUUUUUCUGUGCCAGGAACUCAUCUAAGAUUCCACAUCAUAUUUAAUUGUCAUGUCUCCUCAGUCUCCUCCUGGGGUUGUGAUGGUUCUCAGAAUUUCCUUGUUUUUGAUCACCUUGAAAGUUUUGAGGGGUACUGGUCAAGUACUCAGGAUUUGUAUGAUGUUUUUCUUAUGAUUGGACUGGGAUUGUGGAUGUUUGGAGAAAGAUCACAGAGGUGAAGUGCCAUUUUCAUCACAUCAAAUCAAGAAUACAUACCUUCAACAUGACUGAUGCUGACCUUGAUCACCUGGCUCAGGUGAGAACACUGAGUUUCAGAGAGAUUCAGCAACUGACUUAAAUCUACACAGCUAGAUCCUGGCUCUGUUGGAAGGAUUGGAUUGAUGAGGGAGAGCAUUUAUACUCAGCUGGAGAGGAUGGAAACUAUUUCUAGAGGUGGAGAUGGAGAUGCAGACAAGUGAUGGGUUUGAGUAUGAUUUUGAAGGUAGAAUUACCAGAUCCAUUUGAUGUACAGGAUGUAUGUCACUGAGAGGAAAAAAUGCUUUCAAGAUGAUCCUGGUUUUGAAAAGGAGACCAGAGGAAAAAGGGGAUCAGCAGAGGAAGACCAAAUGUUCAUUUUCUUUUAAUGUGGUAUGCCAGAAGGAAACAUUGUCAAUUAUCAGCUGUGUGAUUUUGGGAAUGUUAUAAUUUUAUAGGGAAAAAAUAAGGUUUAGAGGUUAAGAAACAUAAACUCAACAUUUUGAACUUAAAAUCCAUGGAAGUAACAUGCUGUAGUAGA
Long non-coding RNA from Canis lupus familiaris (dog), 912 nucleotides. RefSeq lists it as uncharacterized. The record is from RefSeq and is a predicted model, not a curated record. The transcript has 3 exons. NCBI's taxonomy places the organism in Eukaryota, Metazoa, Chordata, Mammalia, Carnivora, Canidae.